This 301-nucleotide ribosomal RNA is filed under the name uncultured bacterium. Its description in RNAcentral is "partial 16S ribosomal RNA". It matches the Rfam family "Bacterial small subunit ribosomal RNA", at positions 510 to 808 of the family's 1533-position model. The record is from RNAcentral.
CACAGCCGCGGGAAUACAGAGGGUGCGAGCGUUAAUCGGAUUUACUGGGCGUAAAGCGUGCGUAGGCGGCUUCUUAAGUCGGAUGUGAAAUCCCUGAGCUUAACUUAGGAAUUGCAUUCGAUACUGGGAAGCUAGAGUAUGGGAGAGGAUGGUAGAAUUCCAGGUGUAGCGGUGAAAUGCGUAGAGAUCUGGAGGAAUACCGAUGGCGAAGGCAGCCAUCUGGCCUAAUACUGACGCUGAGGUACGAAAGCAUGGGGAGCAAACAGGAUUAGAUACCCGAGUAGUCCCUGUCUCUUAUACA